Alligator sinensis (Chinese alligator) is the source of this 7294-nucleotide RNA transcript. It is a transcript of the gene named clustered mitochondria homolog, with no coding region annotated. The record is from RefSeq and is a predicted model, not a curated record. The transcript has 28 exons. NCBI's taxonomy places the organism in Eukaryota, Metazoa, Chordata, Crocodylia, Alligatoridae.
CCUAAACUAUGACAAGGGGAGAAAACGAUGUGUUAGACUAGUUUCUUUGCUCCUCCGUUUUAUCUCUGCAUGCUGACAGUCUAAAUUACUGGUCUUGUGCUGCUUGUCACCUUGGGGUCAAGUAAAAAUUUUCUUGCAGUGUCCGCGUGCAAGCACUAACUGAUCCAAAUGGCAGACGGUGAGGUACCUUACUGUACUUAAAUGUACUUGUAAGGGGUUAUAAACCAAAGUAACUUCUCUAAGCCAGUCCUCUGCUAGCCGUGUAAGCUGCAGUCAUGGGAAAUGGCAUUUUUGCCAAUUGCUGUCGGCAUGUCACUGAUUUAAUCUUCCAGACGCGCAGCUUUCGUUCGACCGAUGAGAGAUCACCCCUUCUAGCAAAAUCUCCUGCUGGUUGCACUGCCCCCCCGGAUGUCUCAGAACCUUGCAAGUAUGCCAAGCCAUACCCGGACGUUAUUCUCAGCAACGCAUCAGAUAAACGGCUGCAGAAACAGGCAGAAUACGUCCACGACUUACCCGAGGAGGGCAGGGAAGAAGUGACAGGGGCCUGUGUCAACAGCUGCUUGGAAUUCAGGGUUGCUACUGCAGGCCUCCUGCAGCAGGCACAGGCAUCUUGUGCUCUGGCCGUCCUUCCUGUUGACCUUGAGAGAGAGUCAAAGAUACUGUUAAACCAUGCUCGGCUGCUUGAGGCCUGCCAGGGUUGUGUGAAACUUGAGGACGGUGGCCUGGACUGUAAAACCCGCAACCAGGAAGAGCAUGUGGUACCAGCUGACAAAACAGAUGCAAGCCCUGGAAUGCCGGUGGUUUGGCAGCAAAACCAAGACUUCUUUAAGAGGGAAGAAGCCUUGAAUUUCAAACCCUUAGACAAGCCAGGUGUCCCAUUAGACUGCAGAGCUGCCGGCCCUUACUUGGGAAGCUAUGAUACAACUGGAUCCUCUGAAUGUAAUGCGUCGGGAAAGAUGGAGGAAGUCCAGAAGGCCCAACAAGCAGUCUUGUCAUCUCUCCUUCAGGAUGAGAGUGCGCAUCUGACCCACGUCACCAGCACUUGUUGCUUAUCAACUGACCCAGCAGCGUGCCCAGCUGGCGAGUUAAGCUGCAGUCUGUACAGCGAAGGGAGUAUAUUGCCAUCGAAGCAGAAGAAGCGGAAGAGGAAAAAGAAGUUUCCUUUCUUAGAGCACCCGAGUGUCAUGAUGUUAAUGAACGGGGAUGACUUGCAUGAGAGCCUCAAGGAAGACAAGGAGGUCAAGCAGAAUGGCCAUGAGGAAGCUGAUCCAGGGGAUGAUGGAAACGACCAGGAGGUCAUCGUCAUCCAGGACACCGGCUUCACUGUCAAGAUCUGUGCUCCAGGAAUAGAACCCUUCUCCCUGCAGGUUUCUCCACAAGAGAUGGUGCAGGAGAUCCACCAAGUGCUGAUGGACAGAGAGGACACCUGCCACCGAACCUGCUUCUCCCUGCAGCUGGAUGGCAACGUCCUGGAUAACUUCGCUGAGCUGAAAACCAUUGAAGGGCUGCAGGAGGGGUCGGUGUUGAAAGUGGUUGAAGAGCCCUACACGGUACGGGAAGCCAGGAUACAUGUGCGUCAUAUUCGGGACCUUCUGAAGAGCCUUGACCCAUCAGAUGCAUUUAAUGGUGUGGACUGCAAUUCCCUGUCAUUCCUGAGCGUCUUCACAGAAGGAGACCUUGGAGACAGUGGAAAACGGAAGAAGAAAGGUACCGAAAUGGAACAAAUUGAUUGCACCCCUCCUGAACAUAUCCUGCCAGGUAGCAAAGAGAGGCCCCUGUGUGCCCUCCAGCCCCAGAACAGAGACUGGAAGCCUUUGCAGUGCCUAAAAGUAUUGACCAUGAGUGGGUGGAACCCCCCACCUGGCAACCGAAAAAUGCACGGAGACCUCAUGUACCUGUACGUCAUCACUGUGGAGGAUCGACACGUUAGCAUCACAGCGUCCACCAGAGGCUUUUACUUGAAUCAGUCAACAGCGUACAAUUUCAAUCCCAAGCCUGCCAAUCCCAGUUUCCUCAGCCAUUCCCUAGUAGAGCUGCUUAACCAGAUUAGCCCGACCUUCAAAAAAAACUUCUCAACUCUGCAGAAGAAACGGGUCCAGAGACAUCCCUUUGAAAGGAUAGCUACCCCCUUCCAGGUGUACAGCUGGACAGCACCGCAGGCAGAACAUGCUAUGGACUGUGUGAGGGCAGAAGAUGCUUAUACUUCGAGGCUGGGCUAUGAAGAGCACAUACCUGGACAGACCAGAGACUGGAACGAGGAACUGCAGACCACACGAGAGCUGCCCCGCAAGAACCUGCCAGAGAGGCUGCUGAGGGAACGAGCCAUCUUCAAGGUCCACAGCGACUUCACCGCAGCAGCUACGAGGGGAGCCAUGGCCGUCAUUGAUGGCAAUGUCAUGGCCAUCAACCCCAGCGAGGAAACCAAGAUGCAGAUGUUCAUUUGGAACAAUAUUUUCUUCAGCCUGGGCUUUGAUGUCCGUGAUCAUUACAAGGACUUUGGAGGAGACAUUGCUGCCUAUGUGGCUCCCACCAAUGACCUCAAUGGGGUGCGGACCUACAAUGCAGUGGAUGUGGAGGGGCUCUACACAUUGGGGACUGUGGUGGUGGAUUACCGAGGUUACCGGGUAACGGCACAGUCCAUUAUUCCAGGGAUCUUGGAACGGGAGCAGGAGCAGAGCGUCAUAUAUGGGUCAAUAGACUUUGGCAAGACUGUGGUUUCACACCCCAAGUACCUGGAGCUGCUUGAGAAGACCAGCAGGCCCCUUAAGAUCCAGAAGCACAAAGUCCUGAAUGACAAGAACGAGGAGGUGGAGCUGUGCUCAUCGGUGGAAUGCAAGGGCAUCAUCGGCAACGAUGGGCGCCACUACAUCCUUGACCUGCUCCGCACCUUCCCCCCUGACCUGAACUUUCUUCCUAUAGACGGGGAGGAAAUGCCAGAAGAAUGUAAAAAAAUGGGAUUUCCCAAGCAGCACAGACACAAGCUUUGCUGUCUCAGACAAGAGCUUGUGGAUGCCUUUGUCGAACACAGGUAUCUCUUAUUCAUGAAACUAGCUGCACUGCAGCUGAUGCAGCAGAAGGCAAACAAACCCGAGAGCUCCAGCGUGCUGGAAAAUGGGGCUUCCCCAGAGAAUGGCACUGAGGAGAGCCAGAAAGCUGAACGGGAGGAUGGUAAAAUAGAGGAGAGCGUGACUGGAUUAGAUAGGGUUAAAGAGUUGGCGGAGACCAUUGCCUCUGACGAUGGAACAGUGGAUCCCAAAAGCCGAGAGGUGAUUCGGAAUGCAUGCAAGGCUGUUGGCUCCAUUAGCGACACGUCAUUUGACAUUCGAUUUAACCCGGAUAUCUUCUCGCCAGGAGUUCGUUUCCCUGAAUCCAGCAAAGAGGAAGUGCAGGAUCAGAAACAGUUAUUAAAGGAUGCUGCUGCUCUCGUACUCUCAUGCCAAAUUCCAGGCUUGGUCAAAGACUGCCUUGACCACACUGUGCUCCCGAUGGACGGCGCCACGUUAGCGGAAGCGAUGCACCAGAGGGGCAUCAACAUGCGCUACCUAGGCAAAGUCAUCGACUUCAUCACCAAGACCCCUGCCCAUGCACAGCUGGAUCACAUCUUUAAAAUUGGACUCAGCGAAUUGAUCACUCGAUCAGCCAAACACAUCUUCAAGACGUACCUUCAGGGUGUAGAGCUGUCGGGCUUAUCGGCAGCCAUCAGCCACUUCCUCAAUUGCUUCCUAAGCUCCUUCCCAAAUCCAAUUGCCCAUCUUCCAGCUGAUGAGCUAGUCUCCAAGAAGAAGAACAAGAAAAGGAAAAACAGGAACCUUGGCAAUGCUGAUAACACUGCAUGGGCUAGCAUGACCCCUCAGGAGCUUUGGAAGAACAUUUGUUCCGAGGCAAAAAGCUACUUUGAUUUUAACCUCAAAUGCGAAAGCGUUGAUCAAGCUGCAGAGGUGUAUAACCUACAGAAAAUUACCCUUCUUCGAGAGAUCUCCCUCAAAACUGGAAUCCAGAUCCUGCUGAAAGAAUACAACUUUGACAACCGGCACAAACCCACCUUCACGGAGGAGGAUAUUCUCAACAUCUUCCCUGUAGUGAAGCACGUAAACCCCAAAGCCUCUGACGCUUUCCACUUCUUCCAAAGUGGACAAGCAAAAGUACAGCAAGGUUUCUUGAAGGAGGGCUGUGAGCUCAUCAAUGAAGCCUUAAACUUGUUUAACAAUGUGUAUGGUGCUAUGCAUGUAGAAAUCUGUGCCUGCCUCAGGCUGUUAGCACGCCUCAACUAUAUCAUGGGAGACUAUUCAGAGGCCUUAAGUAAUCAACAGAAAGCGGUACUGAUGAGCGAGAGGGUCCUGGGCAUUGAGCAUCCCAACACGAUCCAAGAAUAUAUGCACCUUGCUUUGUAUUGCUUUGCAAACAGCCAGCUCUCAACAGCAUUAAAUUUACUGUACCGUGCACGCUACCUCAUGCUGUUGGUAUUUGGGGAGGAUCACCCAGAAAUGGCACUCUUGGACAACAACAUAGGCUUGGUGCUCCAUGGCGUUAUGGAGUACGACCUGUCCCUCCGAUUCCUGGAGAACGCUCUGGCAAUCAACUCCAAGUAUCACGGCUCCAAGUCUCUGAAGGUUGCGCUGAGCCAUCACUUGGUAGCCCGAGUGUACGAGAGCAAGGCAGAAUUCCGGUCGGCUCUCCAGCACGAGAAAGAAGGCUACACGAUCUACAAAAACCAGCUCGGAGAACAUCACGAAAAGACCAAAGAAAGCUCCGAGUACUUGAAAUACCUGACGCAGCAAGCCGUGGCUCUUCAACGCACAAUGAAUGAGAUCUACAAGAAUGGAUCCAACGCUAACAUUAUGCCACUUAAGUUCACAGCUCCUAGUAUGGCCAGUGUUCUGGAGCAGCUCAACAUUAUCAACGGGAUUCUCUUCAUUCCACUAAGCCAAAAAGACUUGGAGAACCUGAAAGCCGAGGUGCAGCGGCGCCAGCAGCUCCAGGAGGCCAUCAGGAGCAGCGAACAGCUGGAGCCAGAGGACGGCAUCUCUGAAGAGAGAGAGACUGAGACCAGCACACCUUCUGCCGAGGUCCCCCCAGCACAGGACUCUGCUUAAAUAGUGUACCUCGCUUUUAAAAGAAACAAACAAGGUUUAAACCAUCCUUUUCUGAAUCUGACCCAGGGUCUUGGACUCCCCUGAGGCAGCUUCUCCCUUUUUUUUUUUUUUUUUUUUGACAAUGUUAUUGCACUGGUACAACUAAUACACAAUGCAAAGAACUUAAGUUGAGAAAUGUAAUCUGUCUGACUGAGCUUGUAUCUGCCACCGCAGGGGGGAAGGUGGCCAGGAUGCAGCAGCAGCAUCUGAGAACAUCGCUAGCAAGGAAUUAAGAGAAUUACCUCUCCUAAAUACAACCAAGCUUUUAAACAAGGGCAGUGCCAUCAAAAUCAGCAGCAGCAGCAGCAGCAAGCCUCAACAUCCUCCUUUCCCACAUGAAGUCUAGAAAAUUUACCCUCAAACCUCAAAACUGCUGAAAACAAGCUGCACAAUGUAUCCAAGCAAUAAAAAGUUAACUCCUACAGUCUGGGAACUGUUUUCUCCAAUUGCAACCUCUACAUCGUUCUUAUGAAAAAAGAAAAAGUAUCGACGUUUGCCUUCAUGUCAAUGUCAGGAUCAACUUCUAAACGUGAAGAUUUCACUAACAGAUCUUCAGAAUGAACUCAGGGAAGCCUGAAGAAUAGGUAGGACAAGAAAGCAGCUACUUACAUGACACAGUGGAAAGAUAAAAAAGGCCAGUUAAAUCCAGUUGUGACUUGUAAAUCCAGCUCACCCUUCCCCACCCCCCCACCCCCGAGUGUUUUUCCCCCCCUUCCUUUUUAUACAUGUAUAAUUUCUUUACUAAUAGAGUUUCUUGGUAUUAACUUAUUUUAAGCUACCCUGAACUUUAUGUACAGCUGGACAGAGAAGAGUCAUUCUAAGUGCGUUUUUCCUUCAUUCUAUUCAGCAAGUUUUGUUCUCAAAUUGUUAAAAGGAUUAUCAAGCCACCACUGUCAACAAAAAGAAGGUAUAUAUUUUUUCUUUUAAAUAGCUUUCAUGGGAGACAAAAGCUACUUAAGAGUGAUAUUACCAGGCAGUUCACAUAAAAACAGAAGGAGGCAAACAGGAGAAGCAGGGUACUGACAGUAUAAGUAGACUGGGCUUGGUGAGUCUAUAGCCAAAGCUUUCAAAAUACUACAGUGCUCCACAGCCCUUGGACAACUUGCUAGCAACUAGUUUUUGUUUUUUUGUGUUUUUUUUUUCUUUUUAGUUAGUGCCCCGGGCACAUCAUUGGUCACACCACACACAAAAGCAGGACGGCUUUUUACUCUUCUAAAGUGCAAGAUGCUAUAAAAACCAUCGGCUUUCAGAUUAUGUCUAAACCACAAUAAAUUUUGCACUUUCAAGAAUGCAUCUAGGACUUCCUGGGCACGUUAAAUUAGUGUGGCACUGGAAUGUCUGUCUGUCUUCAUUUUAAAACAAACAAAAAACAUCUUUUUUGCUGUUGUCUAUUUGGUAAUGCAGUUCUCUAUACGUAUUAUUUUCAGCAAUGCCAAUUUUAGUAAGGAAAAGUGACAAAGCAGCAGUGAACCUCUAAAAUCCUCCAAUAAAUUCCUUUCACAAUCCAAACCAGUAACCUCAUUAUUGUACUUAUCACAGGAAAGGCACAGGAUUAGACAGCUGACAGAAACAUUGCAGACAGUGAAAAAAGAUCAACACAGUGUAAUAUCAAGAGGCAACAAAGCAAGAAACCCUCAUAAAUCCAACUUCUGUGUUGUUUCUUUUGACUUUUUUCUUCUUUGUCUAAACAGGGCUUUAAUUUUUGAUCCAUUUUAGGACCAUCCCUGAGAUUAUUCACUGCUUAUUAAAAGGAGAAGGUUGCAAAUCAAGCUGUUUAAAGUCUAAAUAUUCAGCAAGAUGUUUCACCUCUCAAAAACAAAAUGCUGCUCACAAGAUUUUAGUUAAGUCUUUGUCCUUGUAAACUGUUACAUGCGACAGGGAAAGAAAUGCCGUGGACAAAUUUCCACAUAACAGGUACCUUUAAUUUCUCAUUCAUGUUUAUGGAUUAUGUACACAAUUGUGGUUUACUUCACCAUUAAAUAAAGUUGCUACAUCCUAUCAGGAAUUAAAAUGCUGUACUACUAUACACUUGCAGAUGUAUACAGGAAUUUUAAAAUGCACCACUUCUGUGUAUUUGGAAUUCUCAAAAUAGGACAAAUAGCAGCAAACCAUUCCAGUCAAAAGCUGCUAAUGCAAAAAAAAAAAAAAAAAAAAAAAAAAAA